This 433-nucleotide ribosomal RNA is filed under the name uncultured bacterium. RNAcentral's name for it is "partial 16S ribosomal RNA". It matches the Rfam family "Bacterial small subunit ribosomal RNA", at positions 29 to 507 of the family's 1533-position model. The record is from RNAcentral.
AACGAACGCUGGCGGCAGGCCUAACACAUGCAAGUCGAGCGAGAUCUUCGGGUCUAGCGGCGGACGGGAGAGUAACGCGUGGGAAUAUGCCUCUUGGUACGGAAUAGCCUCGGGAAACUGGGAGUAAUACCGUAUGUGCCCUUUGGGGGAAAGAUUUAUCGCCAAGAGAUUAGCCCGCGUUGGAUUAGGUAGUUGGUGGGGUAAUGGCCUACCAAGCCGACGAUCCAUAGCUGGUUUGAGAGGAUGAUCAGCCACACUGGGACUGAGACACGGCCCAGACUCCUACGGGAGGCAGCAGUGGGGAAUCUUAGACAAUGGGGGCAACCCUGAUCUAGCCAUGCCGCGUGAGUGAUGAAGGCCUUAGGGUUGUAAAGCUCUUUCAGCUGGGAAGAUAAUGACGGUACCAGCAGAAGAAGCCCCGGCUAACUCCGUG